CCUGCGUUUUGAGCACACGGCUAAUUUAGACGUUCGACAACGACUGUUGUAGCAACUAUCAUCUCAAACAUUGUAACGCGACAUACAUUAAGAGAAAAUGUUAAUUGUUAAUUAAGUGGGAUUGACUAACUUAAAGGACGAUUAAUGAGCUCACUACGAUCACUGCGACUGUAACAAAAUGUUCGGCUGCCACUGUUCCAUGGUACAGUGCACGCUUAUAAUAAAACUGGUUAGAAAUGACAAAAUUUCAAAGACGUCAUCAAUUGAAGUGAGAUUACCGUGACGAACAAAGAUACGUGUGGCACAUAAAAAUAACAAUAAACAACCAGUUUUAAAUGCUACACUCUAAUUCCCAACUGGACCGUCUGCGAUGUAUGAAGUGGAGAAAAUGAGCAAGUCGUUUGAGCUAUCCGAAACCAAAAGCCAAGAUAAACAAUGCUGCGCAAAAUAAUGAUAACAAGAGAAGAGAAAUUAUGACAAUAAUAAAAAGACGUUGUACCGUUGAUAUUUCCUGUAGAAGGAAAUGAACGCACUACACAUUGCAUUCCUCAUUUUUCCCUUGUAUUUUAAAAGGCAUCAUGGGAUAGAAUGAGGCAAUAAAUAAGGUCUCCUUCGCUAAUGUUUAGCACAGAGAGAAAGAAGAACCACACGAGGUGAUCUGAAAGAUAGAUAAAGUCGCAAGAGAAGGGCCACAAGACAAAAAAUGUACAUCACAAAGACAAGUAUCCUCAUCGUGUUGCUAGUGGCGAACCUGUCCAUUUCGUUAGCAAUACCUCAUGGCUACGGAGGGAAAUUCUACGUGAGGAAACGAUAUAUACGAAGGGCAACGUGCAACAUUCCGUGCAAGGAUGACAAGAAAUGCAGAAGUUGUAAUAAAACAUACAGAUGUUUGUCUGGCACGUGUCAUUUGGAUCCCCAAACAGGACCGCUGUACAAAACACGAAACUUUUGGAACUUUAGAGCCUGAUGCGUAAACAUGGAAGGAUUCGCAUACAAUAUAUAAAUAUAAAUACAUUUAAUAAUAAACUAUUUAUUCACUCCAUUACACAAUGUAAAUAUAUUAAAGAAAAGUGAAAAUGCAAAUACAUAACGAAACAAUGCAAA
Molecule: long non-coding RNA, 1104 nt
Organism: Xenia sp. Carnegie-2017
Lineage: Eukaryota; Metazoa; Cnidaria; Anthozoa; Malacalcyonacea; Xeniidae
Exons: 3
Source: RefSeq, a predicted model, not a curated record